AGUGAACGCUGGCGGUAGGCCUAACACAUGCAAGUCGAACGGCAGCACAGUAAGAGCUUGCUCUUACGGGUGGCGAGUGGCGGACGGGUGAGGAAUACAUCGGAAUCUACUUUUUCGUGGGGGAUAACGUAGGGAAACUUACGCUAAUACCGCAUACGACCUACGGGUGAAAGCAGGGGAUCUUCGGACCUUGCGCGAUUGAAUGAGCCGAUGUCGGAUUAGCUAGUUGGCGGGGUAAAGGCCCACCAAGGCGACGAUCCGUAGCUGGUCUGAGAGGAUGGUCGGCCACACUGGAACUGAGACACGGUCCAGACUCCUACGGGAGGCAGCAGUGGGGAAUAUUGGGCAAUGGGCGCAAGCCUGAUCCAGCCAUACCGCGUGGGUGAAGAAGGCCUUCGGGUUGUAAAGCCCUUUUGUUGGGAAAGAAAAGCAGCAGGUUAAUACCCCGCUGUUCUGACGGUACCCAAAGAAUAAGCACCGGCUAACUUCGUG
Molecule: ribosomal RNA, 492 nt
Filed under: uncultured bacterium
Lineage: Bacteria
Description: partial 16S ribosomal RNA
Rfam family: Bacterial small subunit ribosomal RNA
Source: RNAcentral